This is a long non-coding RNA of Corticium candelabrum, 350 nucleotides long. RefSeq lists it as uncharacterized. The transcript has 3 exons. The record is from RefSeq and is a predicted model, not a curated record. NCBI's taxonomy places the organism in Eukaryota, Metazoa, Porifera, Homoscleromorpha, Homosclerophorida, Plakinidae.
GCUUCCCAGUUAAUGUCUGCCAAUGGACAAGAAAGGUAACAUAAGAAAUGAUGCAAUUCCUAUUUUUGUUUUACAAAUUAAUUAACCUGGUGUUGUAGGGACGCUAGUUGAUACUUCUGUGGGUACCAGUUGUUCAACUAAGGUCACUGCUUCCCAGUUAAUGUCUGCCAAUGGACAAGAAAGGGACGCUAGUUGAUACUUCUGUGGGUGCCAGUUGUUGAACAAAGUGCUGGUGAACUGCAGUACAUUGGGGAAAUGCUGUGAACACUAUGAGCCCUAUUUCUUUGUCACUCAACACUUCACCAAAGCGGUGGCGUACAUCUUGUUGAACUUUCCAGACGGGAACUGAG